UUAGAGUGCUCAAAGCAAGCCU
RNAcentral lists this non-coding RNA (22 nucleotides) under Arabidopsis thaliana (thale cress). The record is from RNAcentral. Lineage: Eukaryota; Viridiplantae; Streptophyta; Magnoliopsida; Brassicales; Brassicaceae.